Molecule: non-coding RNA, 955 nt
Filed under: Cyprinus carpio haematopterus (Amur carp)
Lineage: Eukaryota; Metazoa; Chordata; Actinopteri; Cypriniformes; Cyprinidae
Description: 12S ribosomal RNA
Rfam family: Bacterial small subunit ribosomal RNA
Source: RNAcentral
CAAAGGCAUGGUCCCGACCUUAUUAUCAGCUCUAACUCAACUUACACAUGCAAGUCUCCGCAACCCAGUGAAUAUGCCCUCAAUCCCCCCACCCGGGGACGAGGAGCGGGCAUCAGGCACAAACAUUAGCCCAAGACGCCUAGCCAAGCCACACCCCCAAGGGAAUUCAGCAGUGAUAAACAUUAAGCCAUAAGUGAAAACUUGACUCAGUUAGUGUUAAGAGGGCCGGUAAAACUCGUGCCAGCCACCGCGGUUAGACGAGAGGCCCUAGUUGAUAUUACAACGGCGUAAAGGGUGGUUAAGGAUAAACAAAAAUAAAGUCAAAUGGCCCCUUGGCCGUCAUACGCUUCUAGGAGUCCGAAGCCCUAACACGAAAGUAACUUUAAUAAACCCACCUGACCCCACGAAAGCUGAGAAACAAACUGGGAUUAGAUACCCCACUAUGCUCAGCCGUAAACUCAGACAUCCAGCUACAAUUAGAUGUCCGCCAGGGUACUACGAGCAUUAGCUUAAAACCCAAAGGACCUGACGGUGUCUCAGACCCCCCUAGAGGAGCCUGUUCUAGAACCGAUAACCCCCGUUCAACCUCACCACUUCUAGCCACCCCAGCCUAUAUACCGCCGUCGUCAGCUUACCCUGUGAAGGUAAUAAAAGUAAGCAAAAUGGGCACAACCCAAAACGUCAGGUCGAGGUGUAGCGCAUGAAGUGGGAAGAAAUGGGCUACAUUUUCUAAUAUAGAAUAUUACGAACAUGCACCAUGAAACAAUGCUUGAAGGAGGAUUUAGUAGUAAAAGGGAAAUAGAGUGUCCCUUUGAACCCGGCUCUGAGACGCGUACACACCGCCCGUCACUCUCCCCUGUCAAAACGCACCAAAAAUACAUAAUACAACAGCACUGACAAGGGGAGGCAAGUCGUAACACGGUAAGUGUACCGGAAGGUGCACUUGGAUCAAACC